This 254-nucleotide ribosomal RNA is filed under the name uncultured bacterium. RNAcentral's name for it is "partial 16S ribosomal RNA". It matches the Rfam family "Bacterial small subunit ribosomal RNA", at positions 524 to 776 of the family's 1533-position model. The record is from RNAcentral.
UACGGGGGGAGCAAGCGUUGUUCGGAUUUACUGGGCGUAAAGGGCGCGUAGGCGGCCACCGCAAGUCGGUUGUGAAAUCUCUGGGCUUAACCCAGAAAGGUCAACCGAUACUGCGGGGCUAGAGUGCAGAAGGGGCAACUGGAAUUCUCGGUGUAGCGGUGAAAUGCGUAGAUAUCGAGAGGAACACCGGUGGCGAAGGCGGCAUCCUGGACCGGUAUUGACACUGAGGCGCGAAAGCCAGGGGAGCAAACGGG